GAAUGAAUAGGAGCCCGGUGAGCCACUGGGAGCUGUGCGGACACACCUGGAGAGGAGGUAUAUCAAAAUCAGCAUGGCUGGGACACAGAGAGGGGCCAAUCUUAGCCAACCCGAGCUGAUUUCCCGCAUCUGCCUGCUCCAUCAUCCACGUCAGCAGGACCACACUCCUGGUAUUUCUGGAUGCGGCAGUCAGAUCCCAAGUUCUCAAAGAAACAGAGACCAUUAUGAGCCAUCUGGAUGCCUACAGCGUUCAUUCCGAGCCCUUUUGAGGAUUUGUUUCCGCACAUGGUUUCGGAGACUUCUGCUGGUAGUCGCCUCACUCCAAAGGCUUGGGCAGGAUACCACGGUGAUAGGUUCCUGGGCGAAGACUUCGUGUUCACUUUAUGGCCAGCCAGGAAGUAGAAUGGGUGACAGCUACCAGAGACUUUUCCUGACUGGCCCACUUCCUCCUGCCAGGUCCUCAAAGAGUGUCACAGGCUGAUGACCUAAAGCUCAAAACAAUUCAAAACAGUGUGACACUUCGGAUGUCAGAAAAGAGACAUUUGUAUACACUCAACUGGAUCACCAAACCAGUCCAAGGUCAUGGAAUGUUCAAGAAGAAACGAGAAAUCAAGCCAUUCUAUCUAUCACAGGAGGAAAUGGUUCCUUUCAUCCCAAGCUCACAAAGUGGACCCUAGGGAGAAACAGGAAGUUGCAGCCAAGCUCAGAGCUUCCCCUGCUGGGAAGGGACCAAGCUCGCUCACCACAGCCUGUUCAGGAGUGGAGCAAUGUCUGACAUGUGGUGCAUGCUCCAUCAGGACACACUAUCUAUUAUUUUAUCAUUAGCAGCAACGUUUCCAUCUCCACCAGCGUCACCACCAUCAUUGGCAUCUCCAUCAUCACCUUCCUGGGUGUCUCCCGGGUGUCUGAAGCCUUGCCUUCUGCUUCCGGGGAGGUUAGGGGGAAACCUAGACUCACCCAGGAGUAAAGAUCAACUUUAGAAAUGAGUCAGAGAAGUUGUUUGGAAGUGAAGGGACUCAGACAUCAGGACACGUGACAGUCCCAGGAAAGACAGGUCAUCAGGUGAGGACUUAGAUGAUGUGGACCUAGGACUUUGACAGUAGCAUCCAUGCUGGGGUUGUCUGAAUUCAACCCACCCAAUGCCAGUGGGGUGGUCCAGGUUCUGGGAACAAAGCCCAACAGGACCCUGUAAAAGAGGGACAUGGCUACUGCACUUGGGAACAAAGGCCUCCUGGAGCAUGUAAAUGAGGGUGCGUGGCCACAGCAGUCUCCUUUCUCAGAGGUUCUGAGAAUCCACCACUGGGAUGCUGGUAUCCCUGGGUAUGUGCUGGCUGUCGAGGAGGCUCCCACAUGAGCACAUACGGGCAGAUCAAGUGUGAGCACAUGAAAACCCAGAGGUUGAGGGUGCAUUCCUUGUUGUCAAGAACUGUCCCAGCUUCAGUUCCAAGUCUCAGUCCUGGGAAACAUCAGGACCUGGUGACCUGGAACAGCUGGUCUCCCUCAGUCUAUCUUUUAGAGAAAACAGGUAUUAAACAGUCAGACUUGAAAGCUUUCAAAAAUAACCAUUUACUUUCAACAUAAAAAUAUGUGAGAGCGAGUCAGUUCUGUCAGAAAAGCUCAAACUGUUAUUGGAAAACAAACAAACGAAAAAGUCACAAAAUCUUUUCAUCAAACUGUUGCUAUGUCAACAUAGGACUUUUAAGGUAUAUAUGUAUUUCUAUUUCAUGUGCAAGUGCUUCCCUGUGGGCAUAGAGCCUACAGAGGCCAGAAGAGGGCACUGAAUCCCCUGGAAGUGGUGUUACAGACAGUCAUGAGCUUUCAAGGAUGCUGGCAACUUAACCCAGGUCCUCUGGAAGAGCAGCCAGUACCCUGAACUGUGGAAUCAUCUCUCCAGCCACAAUAGUGUUUUAAAUGAAUACUCUUCCAAUCUCUUGCCAUUCACUAGAUGUUUCUGUCAGGGUUUCUAUUUCUG
Molecule: long non-coding RNA, 1972 nt
Organism: Mus musculus (house mouse)
Lineage: Eukaryota; Metazoa; Chordata; Mammalia; Rodentia; Muridae
Product: predicted gene, 30895
Exons: 5
Source: RefSeq, a predicted model, not a curated record